CCUACGGGAGGCAGCAGUAGGGAAUAUUGCUCAAUGGGGGAAACCCUGAAGCAGCAACGCCGCGUGGAGGAUGAAGGCUUUCGGAUUGUAAAAUCCUUUUGUUAGAGAAGAUAAUGACGGUAUCUAACGAAUAAGCACCAGCUAACUCCGUGCCAGCAGCCGCGGUAAUACGGAGGGUGCAAGCGUUACUCGGAAUCACUGGGCGUAAAGAGCGCGUAGGCGGGAUAGCAAGUCAGAUGUGAAAUCCUAUGGCUUAACCAUAGAACUGCAUUUGAAACUGUUAGUCUAGAGUAUGGGAGAGGUAGGUGGAAUGCUUGGUGUAGAGGUGAAAUGCGUAGAGAUCAAGAGGAAUACUCAUUGCGAAGGCGGCCUGCUGGAACAUAACUGACGCUGAGGCGCGAAAGCGUGGGGAGCAAACAGGAUUAGAUACCCUUGUAGUC
Molecule: ribosomal RNA, 440 nt
Filed under: uncultured bacterium
Lineage: Bacteria
Description: partial 16S ribosomal RNA
Rfam family: Bacterial small subunit ribosomal RNA
Source: RNAcentral